This 77-nucleotide transfer RNA is filed under the name Salmonella enterica. Its description in RNAcentral is "tRNA-Arg". It matches the Rfam family "tRNA". From Rfam's summary of the family: Transfer RNA (tRNA) molecules are approximately 80 nucleotides in length. Their secondary structure includes four short double-helical elements and three loops (D, anti-codon, and T loops). Lineage: Bacteria; Pseudomonadati; Pseudomonadota; Gammaproteobacteria; Enterobacterales; Enterobacteriaceae. The record is from RNAcentral. RNAcentral also lists the same sequence under 2 other names.
GCGCCCGUAGCUCAGCUGGAUAGAGCGUUGCCCUCCGGAGGCAGAGGUCUCAGGUUCGAAUCCUGUCGGGCGUACCA